AUGGACACGUCGAGCAGCGGCGUUCGUCUACCCUGCCUCGCCCUGGAGCACGCCGGCGGCGGCUCCGACAAGCCGGUGCUGUUCAGCAUCUCGGAGAGGAAGGUCAUCGACGGCGGCGGCGACAUCCCUGGGCUGACGAAUGCCAACGCCUGGGCGACGCCGCAGGGCUGGAUCCUAGUGCGCGACGCCGCCGCCGCCGCCGCCGCCACGUUCCUGCAGAACCCUCGCGACUCCUACGACACGAUUCCUCUCCCGCAUCUGCCCCAAGACGACUUGCCGCCGAGGAGGUGCACCUGCCUCCUCUCCGGCAAGCCGGCCGGCGGCGACGGCGGCUGCGUCGUCCUCCUCGUCCACCCUUUCUCCACCGUGUUCUGGCACUGCCGCGUCGGCGGCGACGGCGACGGCGAGUGGGCGAAGCACGAGUACGACAUCGGCACGCAGAGCGUCGACGACGCGAGCCUGCGCGUCGAGAAGGUGCCGAUCUGCCCGGUCGCCGCCGCUCGCCACGGCGCGUUCUACUUCAACGCCGACGCGGCCGGCAACCUCGGCGUGCUCGACCUCGCCUCCGCGGCGCCGGCGUUCGCCUCCCUCGACAUCGACGCCGGGGAGCUGGGCGACGUCGACCACGCGCACUUCUUCCUGGUGGAGUCCCAGGGGGAGCUGUACAUGGUCAGCCUGGUGUACGAGCUCGGCGGCGCCGGGAUGACGGACUGCGAGACGCGGGUGCACAGGCUCUCCGAGCACGAGCAGCCGCCGCGGCGGCGGUGGCGCAGGGCGCGCGACCUCGGCGGCGGGCGCGCGUUCGUGAUGGCUCCGUGGUAUUUCGCGGCGUCGUGCGGGCUGGAGGCGGACUGCGUGUACAUGUUCUACCCGGGGGAGGACGCGUGCGUGAAGAUAUCGAGCCCGGCGCUGUUCAGCAUCUCGGAGAAGAAGGCCAUCAAUGGCGGCGACAUCCCCGGGCUGACCAACACCAACUCCUGGGUGACGUCGCAGGGGUGGAUCCUAGUCCGCGACACCGCCUCCGCAACCACAUUUUUGCAGAAUCCUCGCGAUUUCGACGAUAAGAUUCAGCUACCCCAUCUACCCCAGGACGUGCACAUCAGUUCCACAUGUCUGCUCUCCUGCAAGCCCACGAUGCCUGGCUGCGUCGUUCUCCUCGUUGAGCCAGUCGGCACUAUCAUCUGGUACUGUCACAUUGGAGACGACGAGAAGUGGGUGGAACAUGAGUACGACAUUGGCACGCAGGUCUUGGACCCUCCCUUGGAUGGCAAGGACCACGAGAAGGUGCCGAUAUGCUGGAUCGCCGCUUGCCAGGGCAAGUUCUACUUCAAUGGCGGCUUCGAAAGCAUCGGCGUGCUGGAGUUCUCCCCCUCGCCAACAUUCAGCUCCAUCGCAAUCAUCGACCCCAUCAUUGGAGGAUUAGGGGUGAUGGGCAUGGCAAGCCUGUACAUGGUCGAGUCCUUGGAUGAACUAUACAUGGUUUGCCAAAUGUAUGACUCUGACAUGAAGACCAUCUACGAUGUUACUGUUUAUAGGAUGGAUUUCUUGAAGCAACAAUGGUGCAUAGCCGAGGACAUUGGUGGUCGUGCGUUCUUGGUAGCUUCAUGCUAUUUUGGUGCUUCACGUUCAGCUGAUGAGUGUGGGCUGGAGAAGGAUUGUGUCUACUCUACUUUUGCGCGCGAUAAGUAUUUUGAGGUGUGCAAGGUAGAGGAUGGAGAAACUGAAGAGUAUGAUCUCAUCGAAGCUCCAGAUUCACAAGGAGGGAUGUGGAUUUUGCCCGUUGAAAAAAAGUAGAGAUGAAAAC
RNAcentral lists this long non-coding RNA (1804 nucleotides) under Oryza sativa Indica Group (long-grained rice). RNAcentral describes it as "lncRNA OsZS97_03G036350". Lineage: Eukaryota; Viridiplantae; Streptophyta; Magnoliopsida; Poales; Poaceae. The record is from RNAcentral.